GGACGAACGCUGGCGGCGUGCUUAACACAUGCAAGUCGAACGGAAAGGCCCUGCUUUUGUGGGGUGCUCGAGUGGCGAACGGGUGAGUAACACGUGAGUAACCUGCCCUUGACUUUGGGAUAACUUCAGGAAACUGGGGCUAAUACCGGAUAGUAGCUCCUGCUGCAUGGUGGGGGUUGGAAAGUUUCGGCGGUUGGGGAUGGACUCGCGGCUUAUCAGCUUGUUGGUGGGGUAGUGGCUUACCAAGGCUUUGACGGGUAGCCGGCCUGAGAGGGUGACCGGCCACAUUGGGACUGAGAUACGGCCCAGACUCCUACGGGAGGCAGCAGUGGGGAAUAUUGCACAAUGGGCGGAAGCCUGAUGCAGCAACGCCGCGUGCGGGAUGACGGCCUUCGGGUUGUAAACCGCUUUCGCCUGUGACGAAGCGUGAGUGACGGUAAUGGGUAAAGAAGCACCGGCUAACUACGUG
RNAcentral lists this ribosomal RNA (469 nucleotides) under uncultured bacterium. Its description in RNAcentral is "partial 16S ribosomal RNA". It matches the Rfam family "Bacterial small subunit ribosomal RNA", at positions 27 to 507 of the family's 1533-position model. The record is from RNAcentral.